RNAcentral lists this ribosomal RNA (440 nucleotides) under uncultured bacterium. RNAcentral describes it as "partial 16S ribosomal RNA". It matches the Rfam family "Bacterial small subunit ribosomal RNA", at positions 338 to 795 of the family's 1533-position model. The record is from RNAcentral.
ACUACGGGCGGCAGCAGUGGGGAAUAUUGCACAAUGGGGGGAACCCUGAUGCAGCGACGCCGCGUGAGUGAAGAAGUAUUUCGGUAUGUAAAGCUCUAUCAGCAGGGAAGAAAAUGACGGUACCUGACUAAGAAGCCCCGGCUAACUACGUGCCAGCAGCCGCGGUAAUACGUAGGGGGCAAGCGUUAUCCGGAUUUACUGGGUGUAAAGGGAGCGUAGACGGCAGAGCAAGUCUGAAGUGAAAGCCCGGGGCCCAACUGCGGGACUGCUUUGGAAACUGCCCGGCUAGAGUGCUGGAGAGGUAAGCGGAAUUCCUAGUGUAGCGGUGAAAUGCGUAGAUAUUAGGAGGAACACCAGUGGCGAAGGCGGCUUACUGGACAGUAACUGACGUUGAGGCUCGAAAGCGUGGGGAGCAAACAGGAUUAGAUACCCGAGUAGUC